AGCAGCAUCUAUAUCCUCUGACCU
Molecule: non-coding RNA, 24 nt
Filed under: Arabidopsis thaliana (thale cress)
Lineage: Eukaryota; Viridiplantae; Streptophyta; Magnoliopsida; Brassicales; Brassicaceae
Source: RNAcentral